Molecule: long non-coding RNA, 247 nt
Organism: Oncorhynchus tshawytscha (Chinook salmon)
Lineage: Eukaryota; Metazoa; Chordata; Actinopteri; Salmoniformes; Salmonidae
Exons: 3
Source: RefSeq, a predicted model, not a curated record
AGUGCUGCUACGGGAGCUCCUGGGUCGGGCAAGUCCACCCUGGCCCGGGCCAUGCUGGAACAGAACCCACAUGGGGUGGUGUUGAGCACGGAUGAUUAUUUCUGUCGUCAUGGGGACUAUCGCUACGACCCCUCAGCUUUAGGGGAGGCCCACGAAUGGAACCACGCUAGAGCCCAGGAAGUGAUGGAGGCCUCUUUCUCUCCUGUUAUUAUUGACAACACCAACAUAUACUAUCCCCUAACCCCUA